GGACGGUUAGCUCAGUUUGGUUAGAGCAUCUGAUUUACAUUCAGAGGGUCGCAGGUUCGAGUCCUGCACUGUCCA
RNAcentral lists this transfer RNA (75 nucleotides) under Candidatus Omnitrophota bacterium. RNAcentral's name for it is "Candidatus Omnitrophica bacterium (sediment metagenome) tRNA-Val". It matches the Rfam family "tRNA". From Rfam's summary of the family: Transfer RNA (tRNA) molecules are approximately 80 nucleotides in length. Their secondary structure includes four short double-helical elements and three loops (D, anti-codon, and T loops). Further hydrogen bonds mediate the characteristic L-shaped molecular structure. tRNAs have two regions of fundamental functional importance: the anti-codon, which is responsible for specific mRNA codon recognition, and the 3' end, to which the tRNAs corresponding amino acid is attached (by aminoacyl-tRNA synthetases). tRNAs cope with the degeneracy of the genetic code in two manners: having more than one tRNA (with a specific anti-codon) for a particular amino acid; and 'wobble' base-pairing, i.e. permitting non-standard base-pairing at the 3rd anti-codon position. The record is from RNAcentral. Lineage: Bacteria; Pseudomonadati; Candidatus Omnitrophota.